RNAcentral lists this ribosomal RNA (253 nucleotides) under uncultured bacterium. RNAcentral's name for it is "partial 16S ribosomal RNA". It matches the Rfam family "Bacterial small subunit ribosomal RNA", at positions 524 to 776 of the family's 1533-position model. The record is from RNAcentral.
UACAGAGGGACCAAGCGUUGUUCGGAUUUACUGGGCGUAAAGCGUGCGUAGGAGGCUAGGAAAGUCUGAUGUGAAAUGUCACCGCUCAACGGUGAAAGUGCAUUGGAAACUAUUUGGCUAGAGGAUUGGAGAGGAAAGCGGAAUUCCAGGUGUAGCGGUGAAAUGCGUAGAUAUCUGGAGGAACACCAACGGCGAAGGCAGCUUUCUGGACAAUUCCUGACUCUGAGGCACGAAGGCUAGGGGAGCGAACGGG